Suricata suricatta (meerkat) is the source of this 770-nucleotide long non-coding RNA. RefSeq lists it as uncharacterized. NCBI's taxonomy places the organism in Eukaryota, Metazoa, Chordata, Mammalia, Carnivora, Herpestidae. The record is from RefSeq and is a predicted model, not a curated record. The transcript is spliced from 2 exons.
UGAAAAUGAGUCUAGUCUACAAAAUUGAAAGCAAGAGGGCCAGUACAUAAGGCACUGUACCCUAGUUGCUAAAGCUGCUCCCUCCCUGUGAGGCUCUGGGGAAACAAUGGCGGUACUGCCAUAGACAUUAUGAACUGAAAGUGACCGGCCCAACACGGAAGCCAGGGUGCUCGCUGUUGCCACGGGAGGUUAUGGGUAGGCAAGAGAAGGUCAACAUCAACGGUGAUGGCAGCUCAUGCUGUGAUGUAUCAGACAGAUGCUAGGUCAUGUAACAUACUCUAGGUAGAUAUUCCUGAUGUGAUGAAAAUAACAUUUUGCCCUGUGGCCUUCCUCUUCGAAAUCCAUAAACCUUGACUAAUUAUAGAAAACUAUCAGACAAAUCCAAAUUAAGAGACAUUCUACAAAAAAACCUGAUCAAUAUGCCUCAAAAUGAUCAAGGUCAUCAAAAACAAGGAAAGGCUGAGAGACUGUCAAGCCAAGAGGAGCCUACGAAAACAGGGUAACAAAUGUCAUGUGGUGUCCUGGAUCAGAACCCAGGGAGAAGAGAGAAAACUGGUGUGUGAACACCGGUUCACUAAUCCUGACACAGUUCUUCAAGGAGACUCUGGUAACGAUCUGCCUAUAGAACAGUACAAUUCAACAACAGUUAAAAGAGAAUAUAUUAAAGCUGACUUUUCACAACCUCAGUGAGAACACCAACAAAUGAUCUCUAAGGAAUCAAAUUAUUUAUUGUUUAUUAUUCACAAGUUAUUAAAUUCAUUAAGAAAUUA